GAUAUGGCUCAGGAUGAACGCUAGCGACAGGCUUAACACAUGCAAGUCGAGGGGCAGCAUGGUCUUAGCUUGCUAAGGCCGAUGGCGACCGGCGCACGGGUGAGUAACACGUAUCCAACCUGCCGUCUACUCUUGGACAGCCUUCUGAAAGGAAGAUUAAUACAAGAUGGCAUCAUGAGUCCGCAUGUUCACAUGAUUAAAGGUAUUCCGGUAGACGAUGGGG
Molecule: ribosomal RNA, 223 nt
Filed under: uncultured bacterium
Lineage: Bacteria
Description: partial 16S ribosomal RNA
Rfam family: Bacterial small subunit ribosomal RNA
Source: RNAcentral